RNAcentral lists this long non-coding RNA (4627 nucleotides) under Homo sapiens (human). RNAcentral's name for it is "HSALNT0119551". The record is from RNAcentral. Lineage: Eukaryota; Metazoa; Chordata; Mammalia; Primates; Hominidae.
UGCAUAUUCUUAGAUUUUUACAUUUUUAUUUUAAAACAGAGAAUUUCAUAUUGAUUAACACCUACUACUAAACAGAAUGAUGCAUUAAUUAAAUGCCUUGUCCUAACUGUUAUAAGCUCUGUUAGAAAAAUAAACAUCUCACCACAAACUACAGUGUCAGCUCUUUAAUAAAUACAUAAAACAGAAGUUAGUAGUCAAUCAGAGUUAUAUGAACAGGUUCAUAGUAUAUUAUGUGAAAGUAUCAUAUUCUCCAAUAUUCUGUAUCAUUUAAGACAAUUUAAGUUACGUAUAAUUCAAAGCCAGAAAUAAUAAGAAAUAUGUUCAGUGAUAAUUUGCUUCUUUCUUAGAGCUAUUUUAUAUUCAAAUAUUUAAUUUAAAAAUAUAUUCUAUUGAAGUAGGUUGCAGAGGCUAGAAGAAACCUGAUUAAUAGAGUUAGCUUACAAAGAUAAAUUUUAUGCAGAAAAGUAUUCCAGGUAGAUAAAAGAGUAGUGUUAUUACUCUCAGGUUUACAUUAACAGCUGCCCAGAUAGCUGAACAAUUAUUUCAUAUAAUUCAAAUAAUUUAAAUAUGCAGUUUUAUAACAGUCGUUACAUAAGCUUGAAGUUAAAGUGAUCAGAGCCAAGGGGGAAAAACCCACAAAUGAUAAAGAAGAAUAAAAAGUAAGAGGACUCUAGAAGAAAGUUGUUUUUCACAGCACUGAUUGUUUUUAUCAUAUUUUUCUCCUGCCAUUGAUACAAGACAUGUAAGAUGCUGCAAAACCUAACUAUGACAGUUCCAUGUAAUAUUUUUCCAGUUAAUUUUGUUUAAAAGUGAGAUGAUAAUAUAAAAGGAUCUCAUAUAAUAGAAUAAAAAUAAUAAAAAUUUGUUAAUGAAACGUAGACAUACCUACCCAUUCUUGUUAGUUAAGUUAGGGUUUGCUGAAAUCAUUCGCACUCACGUAAAGUAUAAAUGGGGACCUGAAAGAGCUUUUGUAAACUCAAGAUAUGCGGGAUCUGAGCUGAUAAUCAGUUAGGCUCCAUGUUGAGUUGUGCGUGACUCAGUUGUCCUUAAAUUUCGCCUUCAUAUUUUGUCAUAAAUGGGCUCUCAAAUCUUUAUAAGAAAACAAAAUUUGCCUAGAUGCAUAAACAUUUAGGUAAAGUUGGAUUAGUGUAAUAUUUAUUCAAGCAUAAUUUUAAACACUGCAUCUGAAGUGCCAACAGUUGCAAGAAAUGUCACAAUUUCAGAGAUGUUAAAUUGAAAAAGUGAUGUCUUGGAAUCAAUGAAAUAUAAAUAUGGAUAUGUAUAAUCAGUUAUACAUAAAAAUUUGCUAUAGAGGAAUUAUAAAAGAAAAGGAAAAUUAUUUGAAAGAAUGUUAGCUAUAUCUCAGUGGUCUGCAUUGCAUAAAAUGGAGUUCUUGAGGUCAAUAUAAAUAAGGAUAGUUGUAAAUUAAAUAUUGAGUCAACAUAACAGAAUGCAAUCUGCACAUGAUUGAGCUCCCAUGUAACUAUAUUUCACUUGAUACUUUUAUGAAAACAUAUAUAUUCCAAAUCCUUCAAAAUGAAAAGAAGCUCAAACAGUUGUGAAAAUUUAGAAUUCUUAGAUUUUAAUGGGUCUGUCUUUGUUCAGGGGCAAAGACUCAAAUGAGCUUUAAGAUCAAUUAAAGAUGUCUGGAAAUGAAGAACUUCAUUAUACCAUUAAAUUCAGUUAUUUUUCACUAUUAGGCUUAUUAAGCUUGAAGCUUUAGGAAAUCUCUUGGGAAGAGUGAGUGGAAAAAACAGGAGUAAGAAAAGGAAGAAAAAGCCUUUGAGUCUAAUCUACUCUACCAGGUUCCAGGAAGAAUAUAAUUCUACAGAGAAAAUUCUUCAUAAUCUAUCAUAAUAUAUUUCAGUGUCUGAUGGCUGACUCUUGUCUUGCAUAAAGAUAUCUUCAGUGGAUAUUAAGUAAAUAUUAAAAAUAUAUUUCAGAUUCAUUCUUUGAAGGAUUGCAUCUCAUGCAUCCACAAAUUUUAAUGUUGAGUUUUGGAAAAUUGCCUCCAGAGAUAUCUACUGUGUUUAAUCUUAGAUUUUUUUUUUAUUUUAAUAAACCAAAGAUAAACUGAACAUUUAAGACAUAAUCAGAUUUUUAGUGAAUUUUUAAGUCCUCCAGAAAAGUCUAUGACUUAAUAAAUAUUAGCAAGUUUCCAAAAAUAUAACAAAUGUUUAUAAAUACGUGUGCACUGCAGUGCAAUGGUGUCCCCAGAGAAAUAAAAUGCAUAACAAAGCAAAUGUUAUGUUGUAGUGUAUGUAUGGCACAUUUAUAAAUCAUUACAUACUUUAGGGCACAAAAAUGCUGCAGUACUAAAAGUGUUGUUCAAGUUCUCAAUUCUGUUAACAAUUUAAAAUUUCAUUAAUUGUGUUUAAUAUCAAUGAAUCUCAAAAGGCUCCUGUGGCCAUAUUAGUUGAAAAUAGACUCUAUUUGCAUACAUUAUUUAACCUAAGAGUACCCUGUGUUCCCUUACCAUUUAAUUAAUUCUAACUAGUCAAAUAUUAAUUCUCAUCUCACAAAUCAUUACACAGGAAGAUAUCAAUUAUUCAAGUAAAAUACAAGCCCUACAAUCUUUAAAAAUUAGCUUUUUAAGUAAAAACAAAAAAGAUAAGCACAAGACUUUGCAAGCAUAACCACAAUCAUCGUCUAACACUGAGUUGCCUACAAGGAAGUUUGUCCCUUCCUAUGGUAACAGCCUUGGUCCACUAUAAAGUUAGUGCAAACAAGUGAGGGUAUAAAAAAAAUAUAAACUCUGGAUUUUUAAGGAUUUCAUUUUGUUAUACUCUUUUUGGAUAAUUCAUUCCAUACGGAAAUUUGUUUAUUGUUCAUAAAUAUCAUAAUGUUCAUUUCAAAAAUUGUCAUCAUCUUAAUGGCUAUCUUACACUUUUUUCUUUUGGAGGGUUGUCAGGCAUCCAUCCAUUUUCCUUUUUAAGAAGAACGUUAUGUGUAUUAGGCUACUAAACCCAAUUUUUACAUUAUUUUUAGUGAUCAAAGGUUUCUUAUACAAGUGACUCACAGUACUGAAUUAUGUCAAUCUCUCAUUUGAGGAAGGAAAUGCAGUUCAAGUUAGCAUUGAAAGUGCUUGGCUGUAGAGGACAUCUAACAGAGCUGCUGUGUUUAUUGGCUCCAGAACAACUUAUUAUAGGUUUUUCAGUUCUCUUUAGGGUAGAAUAUGAGAUGGGGUUAGUCUUCAUCAAAAUGCAGUAUCUAGUACUUUAACUCAAGUGCUGGAAGACAGCAAAUCUUGGAAGUUUAUUAUAAAAAAAAAGAUAUUUCGGAUAGAUUCCUUUGUUGUCAUGGGCAAAACUGUAUAUCCACACAGGACUGUUAGACUCCUAGCCAAUAAAAUCAGACUAAGUCCAUAGGGAUAAGGUAAGUGUAAAUAAAUUUCCAUUGGGGAAGACAGGGCUCAUGGCCCGUGUAUCAAGGUCUCAAGCUGAGCACUGGAGAACUCCAGGGAACACUGUUCAUACAGGCUAUGGUGCGAAGGAAUUCCCCUGUAGGUAUGCCAUACUUCAGUCUCUUAAGAAGCUGAUUAGCAUGAAAGACUGGAAGCUGAUUAUGGACAAUUCAGUUUGAAUUAUUCCUUUCUAUUUUGCUUUGAACUUUCCUCAUACACUUAAGACAUGAGUAAAUCACAUUGAAAAACAUUUGCCAAUUGAAUAUUUUAAAGAUUCAAGAGGUAGCAUGAUAUUGUGCAAUGAACACUGGCCUGACAAUGAGAAGAUAAAAACUCCUUUCCAAUGUGGCCACUUUAUCACUUGAGUGUUUUCUGAGAAAUCGUUUAAGUUUUCUGAGGCUCAGUUCCCUAACUCACUAAAAAGGAGAAUUAGCAGCCUGGCAUGGUGGCUCAUGCCUGUAAUCCCAACACUCUGGGAGGCCGAGGAGGGUAGAUCACCUGAGGUCAGGAGUUUGAGAUCAACCUGUCCAACAUGGCAAAACCCCGUCUCUACUAAAAAUACAAAAAUUAGCUGGGCACGGUGGUGGAUGCCUGUAAUCCCAGCUACUCAGGAGGCUGAGGCAGGAGAACUGCUUGAACCCGGGAGGCAGAGGUUGCAGUGAACCCUAAUUGCGCCAUUGCACUUCAGCCUGGGUGACAAGAGUGAAACUCCGUCUCAAAAAAAAAAAAAAAAAAAAAAAAAGCUUAUUUCUAAGAUAUCAUCUAUUCUCCAAUUUUGUACUUUUAUGAAUUCUGGCAAGAAGGGUUGGAGUGAUUCUGGGAAAGAACAUCCUUAGGCUGCCUUGAAGGGAGAAGAUAAUAUAGCUUUUCAUUUAAAAAAUGCUGAUAUCUACUUGCAAUCAAAAUCUAAGAAAACAUUCAAAAUGUGGUACUUUGCUUGAGGCAGAAUUUCUAACUAUCUUGUGAAUUAAUGAUAAGAUAAAUGAAAUGGCCAAACAAUCCCUUCAGUUUACCAGGUAAGAGGAUACAAAACUCCACACUUGUGCACAAUGAAGCUAUUCAGGUUUUGAUGAUACUUUACAGUGUCCCCUAUUAACAUUCAGCUUUUAAAACUAGUAUUCUGAUAAAGUGACAUUGUAUUAUUAGUUUUUUAUGGCAGUAGUAACUUAGCACUUAAUUAAUCCAGUCAUCUGUGACAUACAUAAACUUAUCCUGUAAAAAAGA